AUUGAACGCUGGCGGCAUGCCUUACACAUGCAAGUCGAACGGCAGCACGGGUGCUUGCACCUGGUGGCGAGUGGCGAACGGGUGAGUAAUACAUCGGAACAUGUCCUGUAGUGGGGGAUAGCCCGGCGAAAGCCGGAUUAAUACCGCAUACGAUCUACGGAUGAAAGCGGGGGACCUUCGGGCCUCGCGCUAUCGGGGUGGACGAUGGCUGAUUAGCUAGUUGGUGGGGUAAAGGCCUACCAAGGCGACGAUGAGUAGCUGGUCUGAGAGGACGACCAGCCACACUGGGACUGAGACACGGCCCAGACUCCUACGGGAGGCAGCAGUGGGGAAUUUUGGACAAUGGGCGAAAGCCUGAUCCAGCAAUGCCGCGUGUGUGAAGAAGGCCUUCGGGUUGUAAAGCACUUUUGUCCGGAAAGAAAUCCUUGGCCCUAAUACGGUCGGGGGAUGACGGUACCGGAAGAAUAAGCACCGGCUAACUACGUG
This 486-nucleotide ribosomal RNA is filed under the name uncultured bacterium. RNAcentral's name for it is "partial 16S ribosomal RNA". It matches the Rfam family "Bacterial small subunit ribosomal RNA", at positions 30 to 507 of the family's 1533-position model. The record is from RNAcentral.